RNAcentral lists this ribosomal RNA (274 nucleotides) under uncultured Lactobacillus sp. RNAcentral describes it as "partial 16S ribosomal RNA". It matches the Rfam family "Bacterial small subunit ribosomal RNA", at positions 258 to 524 of the family's 1533-position model. Lineage: Bacteria; Bacillati; Bacillota; Bacilli; Lactobacillales; Lactobacillaceae. The record is from RNAcentral.
AACGGGCUUACCAAGGCAAUGAUGCAUAGCCCGAGUUGAGAGACUGAUCGGGCCACAUUGGGGACUGAGACACGGGCCCAAAACUCCUACGGGGAGGCAGCAGUAGGGAAUCUUCCACAAUGGACGCAAGUCUGAUGGAGCAACGCCGCGUGAGUGAAGAAGGGUUUCGGCUCGUAAAGCUCUGUUGUAGUGAAGAAGAUAGAGGUAGUACUCGUCUUUAUUGACGUAAUUACUUAGAAGUCACGGCUAACUACGUGCCAGCAGCCGCGGUAAU